GACGAACGCUGGCGGCGUGCUUAACACAUGCAAGUCGAGCGGUAAGGCCCUUUCGGGGGUACACGAGCGGCGAACGGGUGAGUAACACGUGGGUGACCUGCCCUCAGCUCUGGGAUAAGCCUGGGAAACUGGGUCUAAUACUGGAUAUGACUCCACGGUGCAUGUCGUGGGGUGGAAAGCCUUGUGCGGCUGAGGAUGGGCCCGCGGCCUAUCAGCUUGUUGGUGGGGUGANGGCCUACCAAGGCGACGACGGGUAGCCGGCCUGAGAGGGCGACCGGCCACACUGGGACUGAGACACGGCCCAGACUCCUACGGGAGGCAGCAGUGGGGAAUCUUGCGCAAUGGGCGAAAGCCUGACGCAGCGACGCCGCGUGAGGGAUGACGGCCUGGUUGUAAC
Molecule: ribosomal RNA, 397 nt
Filed under: uncultured bacterium
Lineage: Bacteria
Description: bacterial SSU rRNA
Rfam family: Bacterial small subunit ribosomal RNA
Source: RNAcentral